GGAGCGUAAACUCCUUUUAUCAGGAAAGAAUAAUGACGGUACCUGAUGAAUAAGCACCGGCUAACUCCGUGCCAGCAGCCGCGGUAAUACGGGGGGUGCAAGCGUUACUCGGAAUCACUGGGCGUAAAGGACGCGUAGGCGGAUUAUCAAGUCUUUUGUGAAAUCUAGUGGCUUAACCACUAAACUGCUUAGGAAACUGAUAGUCUAGAGUAGGGGAGAGGUAGAUGGAAUUCUUGGUGUAGGGGUAAAAUCCGUAGAGAUCAAGAAGAAUACCCAUUGCGAAAGCGAUCUGCUGGAACCUAACUGACGCUGAGGCGUGAAAGCGUGGGUAGCAAACAGGAUUAGAUACCCUGGUAGUCCACGCCCUAAACGAUGUAUACUAGUUGUUGCUUUGCUAGUCAAGGCAGUAAUGCAGCUAACGCAUUAAGUAUACCGCCUGGGGAGUACGGUCGCAAGAUUAAAACUCAAAGGAAUAGACGGGGACCCGCACAAGCGGUGGAGCAUGUGGUUUAAUUCGAAGAUACGCGAAGAACCUUACCUGGACUUGACAUCCUAAAAACAUCUAAGAGAUUAGAAAGUGCUAGUUUACUAGAAUUUAGUGACAGGUGCUGCACGGCUGUCGUCAGCUCGUGUCGUGAGAUGUUGGGUUAAGUCCCGCAACGAGCGCAACCCACGUGUUUAGUUGCUAACAGCUCGGCUGAGCACUCUAAACAGACUGCCUUCGUAAGGAGGAGGAAGGUGUGGACGACGUCAAGUCAUCAUGG
Molecule: ribosomal RNA, 764 nt
Filed under: Campylobacter ureolyticus
Lineage: Bacteria; Pseudomonadati; Campylobacterota; Epsilonproteobacteria; Campylobacterales; Campylobacteraceae
Also listed under: 1 other name
Description: bacterial SSU rRNA
Rfam family: Bacterial small subunit ribosomal RNA
Source: RNAcentral